Molecule: long non-coding RNA, 668 nt
Organism: Brassica oleracea var. oleracea
Lineage: Eukaryota; Viridiplantae; Streptophyta; Magnoliopsida; Brassicales; Brassicaceae
Exons: 3
Source: RefSeq, a predicted model, not a curated record
UAUAAGAAUAUCACUUUUAUCUUUUAAAGUUUAAAGUAAGGAUAUUACACACCUUUUGUUUUUGUAUUUGAUCCUUUUAAUCCCUUGUUAUAUUAUUAUGUGACAGAAUUUUGGACACCCAUUUGCUCGAGUGUGUCCACACUUCAGAAACAAUGUCUUGGAUCAGAAACUCGUAGGCACUGGUAGAUAGACAUAAACAUAGUGAUGAAUGGUUUGGUCAACCUAUACAGGUUAUUGUUCUUUAUUAUAUAGUAUUUUCAGUAUGUAAACCAGUAAUAAUCGUAUAAAAAAUUACCAGCUAAUUUGUGGCCUGGAAUGAUAGAUAGCAUCUGCGUUAGAAAAAGCUGGAUCCUUUUCAACGUGAAUAUCUAAACAAAAUUGGUCUUCGAAUCGGAUCCUGCAUAAAAGAAAGUCUUUUACCAAGAUUCUUUUAAAAGGAGUCGAUAAUUACUUUGAAGACUUUUGAAGACAAUUAAAAAGGAUUGUCAUGGAGUUUAAAGAGAUUCUUCAGAAUCAAAUCGACCGGUUGUGAACUGCCUUGUAACAAGUAUAUUAGUUAAUUUAUGUAAUAAGUAGUUAUCUUUUGUGUGUUUCAAAAAAAAAAAGUAGUUCUUUUAUAUUUUGUUUUCCAUCUUUUGUAAUUGUUAUUUGCUUAAAUCUAGAACCAG